This 1299-nucleotide ribosomal RNA is filed under the name Triticum aestivum (bread wheat). RNAcentral describes it as "partial small subunit ribosomal RNA". Lineage: Eukaryota; Viridiplantae; Streptophyta; Magnoliopsida; Poales; Poaceae. The record is from RNAcentral.
AUGGCCAUGGUGUGGUGUCCAGCGAGCAAGGAAGCCGCCGCAGCCAUGGCCAUGGAGGUGGAAGAGACCACGACGGCGGCGUCGGCGGAGAAGACGUUCCUAGUCCAGAGCGAGGACGGCAUGGACUUCUGGGUGUCCGAAUCGGAGGCGAGCCAAUCCAUGACCAUCGAUGGCGAGACCGUCUGCUACGACGGCGAGCCCAUCUACGUCAACGUCGACAGAGAAACCCUCUCCAAGGUCUUGCACUACUGCAAGAAGCACGCCGCCGCCGGCGACGAUGACGACCUCCUCAGCGCCUGGGACGCGGAGCUCGUCGUCGGCGUCGACCUCGAGGCCCUCUACGACCUCAUCCUCGUACCGAAGGAGCUGGAGGUCCGAGGGCUCCUGGACCUGGCCUGCGGGGCCGUCGCCGGCAGGAUCAAGGGCCGGUCGCCGCGGGAGGUCUGCCACCUCCUCCACAUCAGGGGCGUCUUCGUCCCGGACUUCCACCACCACCAGCUCUCGUCGGCGGCGAGUAGCGGGUCUCGUUGGACUGAUGGAGAGCUCAAGCUGACGGAGAAGGCGCUGCGGGCUCUGCACGUGGUCCGUGUCAACGACUUCACCUCGUACGAGCCCACGCAGGACUACCACGUGUGCUAUCGCUUCCACCACGAGUUCAACAUGGCCCUCUUCGACUUCGACAAAGAGACUCGCUUCUGCCGUGGCCCGCCGCUCUGCAAGAGGACACCGGCGCGUGAGUCGCUCGCGGGAGCAUGUCUCAACGUCAUAUGCUUGAAGGUGCGCGAAUCGGACGUCGGCUUCCCAAUCAACGUGUUUGGCACCGUCGUCGCAAGGGACUCGGUGGACUAUAGAUGCGUCUAUCUCUUUAGGCGUGACAGGGACGAUCCCCAACUCAUCACCUCGCCGGUUUACGCACCCGUGGAAGCCACGUUUGCAAUCAAUGUUGUAAAGGGCCCGUGUAAUAUCUCGAGAGUAGUCGUUGCGACUCGUGGAAACUUUAGUGAUCGUAGGAUCCUAUACGAAGCAACGGACAACCAUAUGGUGAUUGGUGACGGUGCUUCCGUUCCGUUGACUCGUCAUGUGGUAGCCGUCCCACGGGAUCAGAAGCUGGCGCUCUAUCUUGUCGGUGGCGACGACGUACUUGGACACCUUGCCCUCACUCUAGGUCAUUCUGACGAAGUGGUCAACUGUAAGAUGGGUUGCGCUGAGCUUGAGGUGAAAGUUGCUUGGACGGCUGUCCUGAGAAGAAAAAGACCUAACAUGUUUAAGGAGGUCGGAGAUGUGCGGCUCUUGUUGUGA